Non-coding RNA from Schistosoma rodhaini, 114 nucleotides. NCBI's taxonomy places the organism in Eukaryota, Metazoa, Platyhelminthes, Trematoda, Strigeidida, Schistosomatidae. The record is from Rfam.
GUUGGUUAUGGUGAUAUGUUACCAAGAACAAUAUUAGGUAAAUUAAUUGGUGCAUGUUGUUGUAUAUGUGGUGUAUUAGUAGUAGCAUUACCAAUACCAAUUAUUGUCAAUAAU